CUAUCACUCAGGACGAUUGGAGGGGGCAUUUCCAUUAAGGGGGCAGCGAUGGGAAACAGGAUUCCUGGGCUUGCACGCGGAAUCCCAUUUGCACGCGGCUAAGGAGUUGAAAGCGCAGGACCCGGUUUGCAAGCAGAGGAGGGCGAGCUGGGAGUGGAAGGAUCCGGACACUCGAAGGGAAAGACUAACAGACCGUAAUGAUCCGAAUCCACGUCUUGGAGGGAAAGGCUUUUGUGUGGAAUUGCGCUGAUGUGCAACGUAUCCGAGAGGAGCAUCGCAUUGUUGGCACGCUGGUUGGGGCAUUGGCUCGGAAGCCACGGCAGAAUGUGCGGCUGGGUCUUCCCCUCCAGUUGCUGCCGGAAGAGGCCCGGCUGUUGUUGGAGAAAGAUGUGGCCACCUUGAUUAAAAACCCAUCUUCCAAGCCCUUUGCAGAUGAUGCAGAACAGGAUCCCCUAUUCUUGGAGGCAGUGGCUGCCUACCAAGAGGAGCAAGAGGAGAGCUACAUGGAACAGCUGAGGCUGGCGGCUGAACAGAGGAAGGCCCUGCUGGGCUCCCUGGCUGAACGCAUCGCGCAGGGUCGGGCAAAGAAACAGCAGCAGAAAGGGGAAGGAGGAGAGCCUCUGUCAAAACCUGCAGAUCCGGAAUCUAGUUUUGUGUUUCCCCGGGAAUCUAUGAUGGUCCAGCUUCCCACAGAGCGGACCUGGCUGGGUCAAGAAGAGGUCGACUGGCACCUGCCCUCCAAAGAGUGGCCUUAUGGUGGACAACCGGAACAUGAGAUGCGUUACUGUGUUUUCCAGAGCCUUUGGGAACAAGGCUACUAUAUCACCAGUGGGAGCAAAUUUGGGGGCGACUUCCUUGUUUAUCCAGGUGACCCAAUGAGGUUCCAUGCCCAUUACAUCGCCCUCUGUGUGACUCGAGAUGCACCCCUUUCCUUGUGUGACAUCAUCAGUGUGGGACGGCUUGGCACCAGCGUCAAAAAGACUGUUCUUCUUUGCUCGGUGGACCAGGAUGGGACUGUAGUGUACACAUCCCUGCAGUGGAGCGGGAUGCAGUGAGAAAUAGACUGGCCAUUAUUAAGGUAUUCAGAUAACACUGCUGAGCUCUAGGCCAGCCAUUCCAACAAUGGAGAGGGGCUGGUAUUCCUCAGCGAAGGUUGCUCUAGGCCACCUUGCUCACACUUGGCCUUUAUCAACAUUUCCAUUGCAUAAACGGUUGCAAUAAUUCUUAGGGGGGUCCUUGUACAGCCAACCUCUUCCAGGGGCACCUACAGAGAGCUCCAUUUUGGAAAGAGUUAAGACUAUUUCUACCAGGCUGCCAUGAACAACCCUGCCACGAUCUAGAGACUCCCGUCCCUCAAUGCUGAAACUCAGCCACUGGACACAGGCAGCUAAAAUGUAUUACUGGAGUUUAUUAAAGAACGAACAUAGGAGCGUAUGUAAACCAGGAAUCACUCUUUAAAGACAUUUAGAUAAGGCACAAAAACAAUUUAUCCUCAGAUCAACCCUGCAAGGUAGGUCAGACUGAAGUGUGUAACUGGGACAGCAAUAGGGCAAUAAGACUGCAUACAAUUCUACAUGCCCCAAAGCAACUAC
This is an RNA transcript of Eublepharis macularius, 1592 nucleotides long. It is a transcript of the gene named tRNA splicing endonuclease subunit 34, with no coding region annotated. The transcript is spliced from 6 exons. NCBI's taxonomy places the organism in Eukaryota, Metazoa, Chordata, Lepidosauria, Squamata, Eublepharidae. The record is from RefSeq and is a predicted model, not a curated record.